CUGUGAUAGAUCCUGGAAACUCACUUCCAAUGACAAAGAACCUGAGAUAAACAAUGAAUGAUAAAUGAAUGUGCUAGUUCAUUGAUUUGUUGACAGCAGGAGUGGAAAAUGAGAAUGGAUGUCUAACUUCAAUUUAAACAAGAGAACAUUGAUAAUUGUGACUCCAAAGAUUCUAAUUCUCUCUGGAUAUACUGUGUUAUUUCUAACACAUUGAAGAAAAAGGAGGAGACAAAUAUUUCAUCUUCGCCCUCAUGGAUGAUGUGAUGGUGAGCAAGCUGGGAAGAGAACCAUUUAUUUUGAAUUCCAGAGCUCGUACAUUGAGAUGGGAAGCAAGGACCAAGAAAUUUCUCAAACUUCACAGGUCAGUUAGCAUGGUAUAUGCAGCUAGGAAUGACAAAGAGACCCUGUC
This 409-nucleotide long non-coding RNA is filed under the name Mus spicilegus (steppe mouse). RNAcentral describes it as "lncRNA (ENSMSIG00000006838.1)". The record is from RNAcentral. Lineage: Eukaryota; Metazoa; Chordata; Mammalia; Rodentia; Muridae.